CCUACGGGAGGCUGCAGUGGGGAAUAUUGGACAAUGGGGGCAACCCUGAUCCAGCAAUGCCGCGUGUGUGAUGAAGGCCUUCGGGUUGUAAAGCUCUUUCGGCGGGGACGAUGAUGACGGUACCCGCAGAAGAAGCCCCGGCUAACUUCGUGCCAGCAGCCGCGGUAAUACGAAGGGGGCUAGCGUUGUUCGGAAUGACUGGGCGUAAAGGGCGCGUAGGCGGCCCACGUAGUCAGGCGUGAAAUUCCUGGGCUUAACCUGGGGGCUGCGUUUGAUACGUGUGAGCUAGAGGUCGGAAGAGGCUCGUGGAAUUCCCAGUGUAGAGGUGAAAUUCGUAGAUAUUGGGAAGAACACCGGUGGCGAAGGCGGCCAUCUGGACCGAUACUGACGCUGAGGCGCGAAAGCGUGGGGAGCAAACAGGAUUAGAUACCCUUGUAGUC
Molecule: ribosomal RNA, 440 nt
Filed under: Salmonella enterica subsp. enterica
Lineage: Bacteria; Pseudomonadati; Pseudomonadota; Gammaproteobacteria; Enterobacterales; Enterobacteriaceae
Description: bacterial SSU rRNA
Rfam family: Bacterial small subunit ribosomal RNA
Source: RNAcentral